Homo sapiens (human) is the source of this 594-nucleotide long non-coding RNA. NCBI's taxonomy places the organism in Eukaryota, Metazoa, Chordata, Mammalia, Primates, Hominidae. The record is from Ensembl.
UGUGAGUUUGGAUUACAUAGGUCAAGGAUCAGUAAUCUAUGGCUCAUGGACCAAAUCCAGCCUCCUGCCUGUUUUUGUAAACAAAGUUUUACUGGAAUGCAUUCAAGCUGAUGUGUUUACAUAUUAUCUAUAGAUGCUUUCACACUACACCAGCGUAGCUGAGAAGCUGUGACACAGAUCACACUAACUGCAAAGGCGAAAAUAUUCACUCUCUUAGAGAAAAACUUUGCUUUUUGUAGUAUGUUUAUUUAAAAAAUUGUAGUUUCCUUUGGAGAAAAAGUGCUUUUUCUCUAGGUGAGCCUAAGAGGACUCAGACAGGGUGUUUGAUUAACUAUAGGGGCUUUUGUUAAAAGGUAGAAAACUAUGGAUAGCACUAAUCUACAGCAUUAAUGAACCAGCAAAACUCAGAACAUCUUCAGUAUCAACAUACCUUAGAUACGGAGUCUUUCCUGACUUCUUGUACAGCUUCAGAGUGUGAGGCUGACCCAAACUGAGAUUUCGGUGUCAAAUACCUAAAAGAAAAGUUUACCAAAGUUUCAAUGCUUUCAAAGACAGAUGGUAUGUACCCAACAUAAUAAAGCUAUUUAUACCGAA